UCUAGAACCCGAGAUAUGGACUGAAUACUAAACAGUGUUUGGGUUGUAAGAUAGAUUCAGACUUUUCUUUUGAUGCUAAUAUUUGGACUCCAAAACAAAAAAAUUGAGUUUUGAACUCUCAUGGAUAUUUUAGGCCUAUGUCUUAGCUUUCCAUC
Non-coding RNA from Populus trichocarpa (black cottonwood), 155 nucleotides. The record is from Rfam. Lineage: Eukaryota; Viridiplantae; Streptophyta; Magnoliopsida; Malpighiales; Salicaceae.